RNAcentral lists this unclassified non-coding RNA (272 nucleotides) under uncultured fungus. RNAcentral describes it as "partial contains small subunit ribosomal RNA, internal transcribed spacer 1, and 5.8S ribosomal RNA". The stretch from base 1 to 73 matches the Rfam family "Eukaryotic small subunit ribosomal RNA", at positions 1759 to 1831 of the family's 1831-position model. Lineage: Eukaryota; Fungi. The record is from RNAcentral.
GCAAACUUGGUCAUUUAGAGGAAGUAAAAGUCGUAACAAGGUCUCCGUAGGUGAACCUGCGGAGGGAUCAUUAAAGAGAAAGGGCCCACGGCCCGACCUCCAACCCUUUGUAUUACCAACCACGUUGCCUCGGGGGUGACCCUGCCUCCCGGCUGGUGUCCCCCCGGUGGACAUUCAAACUCUGCAUCCUUUGCGUCGGAGUGAAUCAAUCAAAUUGAAUCAAAACUUUCAACAACGGAUCUCUUGGUUCUGGCAUCGAUGAAGAACGCAGC